This 83-nucleotide non-coding RNA is filed under the name Candidatus Kentrum sp. FM. Lineage: Bacteria; Pseudomonadati; Pseudomonadota; Gammaproteobacteria. The record is from RNAcentral.
UAUUAUGGCGGGCGAUAUGGGCAACCCUCGGGUUGGCCGCGCGUUCCUGGCGGUUUGUGACCCCGUGCUUGCCCGCCUCCCCU